RNAcentral lists this long non-coding RNA (457 nucleotides) under Struthio camelus australis. RNAcentral describes it as "lncRNA (ENSSCUG00000005921.1)". Lineage: Eukaryota; Metazoa; Chordata; Aves; Struthioniformes; Struthionidae. The record is from RNAcentral.
GGGGGCGGCGCGGGCAGGGCCGGUGCUGGCCGCCGGCUGGUCGCCCAGGCCGCUGCCCGGGCCGCGCAGCGGGUACCUGAUGUCUGUGCGACGCUUUGCUGGGGAGCGCCAAGUUAGAGAGCUCUUCUCUGCCCUGGCCUGUUGCUGGUCCUCCCACAACUUAAUGAGAUGAGAAACAAGGUUUGCCUAUUGAACUUGGGCUCAAACUGACUGAGGGAAAUAGGAGCUGAAAUGAGCAGCGUUGCACACAGACCAGGAACAUGCAGGCAUGGAACGAGUUGCAAAUUGGCCUCUAUGGAUGCAGGAUGCAAACAGGUUGCUGACCGUUUCUUCAAACUGGAGCCAGAACAUGAUCACUUCUGUGGAACAUAAGGAAUAGGAGAGAGAGGAUUCAGACCGUCUAGUCAGUGUUUGACCUCAGGAUGCGUGGAUCCUCAUUUCAUUCAUGCUAGUAAUC